Molecule: long non-coding RNA, 970 nt
Organism: Pogoniulus pusillus (Red-fronted tinkerbird)
Lineage: Eukaryota; Metazoa; Chordata; Aves; Piciformes; Lybiidae
Exons: 3
Source: RefSeq, a predicted model, not a curated record
CUUCCUCCUCCUCUCCCUCCUCCUCCCCCUCCAGAUCCAGCAAGACAUCUUCGUUCUCCAUAUUCAUCCUCCCGAAGCUGCAGUCCCCUGCGCCCGUUCUCCCGCCGCCGGCGGGGAGGCGAGCCUGCCCCGAGCUCUCCCUGCCCUGGAGGCGGAGCGGCAGCGGGCGGCGGGGAGGAGGCGGCGGGGUGCGGGCGGGGCGGCAGCAGCCAGCACCUUCCCGGCAGCUGGGCCGCCCGUGCCCCGGCACCUUGCCUGCUCGGCUGUAGCCCACCACCGUCCUGCUGUUCUCAGCCUCAAACAGCUCCCGCCUGAGAUCUCAGAAAGGUGAGCCCUAGGUGGGAUUCAAGACAGGCAGCAAUGCAUCUCCACAGUCCUUACAGCGCUAUUACCUCUAACGUGCAGCUGGCUCCAGCCGUCGGACGAGGAAGAAGGUACUGAUCUCUGGGCACAGAGAGGCAGUGGUGGUCAGCAAGCAGCAGGAUCCAAAGUGGAGCAUUUACAAAGAUUUCUCUGGUUUCAUCCACAUGUUCAUCUUUUGAAAACUGGGUCAGGAGUGAAAGCCUUGGAUCUUUCUAAAGUAAGAGCUUGUCCUCAUCAGCUUCUUCAUCUUCAGAUACAAACUAGGAGAAUUCUACAACAGGGGCAAUAAAGAAUUGUGACCGUGCAGAAAUGCUGAAGGUACAGAAGUACUCAUAAAAAGAGAUUUGAGCACUCAUCGUGUACUGUUUCUGGCGGAAAGCAGAGGCUUCCUAAAACUGAAAGGAAGAGUGGUUAGAGAGGAGCUGGACUGAGCUUGAAUAAUGGGGAAAAAAUGUAAAUAAGACUGGAAAUAAUGAAUCUUAAAAAUGGAGCAGCUGUGCUUAGAGAAAGGAGAAGAUAGGGAGGGGAGAAGAUAAGAGUAAGAGAACCUUUAAAAUUAUUAUUAUUAUUAUUAUUAUUAUUGUUAUUAUUAUUCACAAAGCAAUAA